RNA transcript from Cercocebus atys (sooty mangabey), 5092 nucleotides. It is a transcript of the gene named serine palmitoyltransferase, long chain base subunit 3, with no coding region annotated. Lineage: Eukaryota; Metazoa; Chordata; Mammalia; Primates; Cercopithecidae. The transcript has 13 exons. The record is from RefSeq and is a predicted model, not a curated record.
ACACUUUGCCACUGGGUUGUUCAGUCCCCAGGUUCCCUCAGUCCUCAGAAGGAGCCAGCAUGGACAAUCUCCUUUAUAGUUUUGGAAGCAGGUUUGUUGCCAUGGAGUUCACAUUUUGACUGGAGUUGAGAAGUAUAAAGGUAACCGUUUGUUUUAGUUUCAACGAUCUGGCAAAAAGAUAGGCUGUUGCUCUUCUUCUGGAAAAGCCUGAUUGGUAAGAUUCCUUUAAGGGCUCAGCCCCAAAGAGCUUUAUCCCAUCCCCUCACAGACUAAAAACUAAAGCUUGCAGAGACCUCUGAAGGAAAACCUGUCCCGGGCUCUGUCACUUCACACCCAUGGCUAACCCUGGAGGUGGUACUGUUUGCAAUGGGAAACUUCACAGUCACAAGAAACAGAGCAAUGGCUUGCAAAGCAGAAACUGCACAAAGAAUGGAAUAGUGAAAGAAGCCCAGCAAAAUGGGAGGACACAUUUUUAUGAUAAGCUCAUUGUUGAAUCCUUUGAAGAAGCACCCCUUCAUGUUAUGGUUUUCACUUACAUGGGGUAUGGAAUUGGAACCCUGUUUGGCUAUCUCAGAGACUUUAUGAGAAACUGGGGAAUAGAAAAAUGCAAUGCAGCCGUGGAACGAAAAGAACAAAGAGAUUUUGUACCACUGUAUCAAGACUUUGAAAAUUUUUAUACACGAAACCUUUACAUGCGAAUCAGAGACAACUGGAACCGGCCCAUCUGCAGUGCCCCAGGGGCUCUGUUUGACGUGAUGGAGAGGGUGUCGGAUGACUAUAACUGGACAUUUAGGUUUACUGGAAGAGUCAUCAAAGAUGUCAUCAACAUGGGCUCCUAUAACUUCCUUGGUCUUGCAGCCAAGUACGAUGAGUCUAUGAGGACAAUAAAGGAUGUUUUAGAGGUGUAUGGCACAGGCGUGGCCAGCACCAGGCGUGAAAUGGGCACCUUGGAUAAGCACAAGGAGCUGGAGGACCUUGUGGCUAAGUUCCUGAAUGUGGAAGCAGCUAUGGUCUUUGGGAUGGGAUUCGCAACUAACUCAAUGAAUAUCCCGGCAUUAGUUGGAAAGGGAUGCCUCAUUUUAAGUGAUGAGUUAAACCACACAUCGCUUGUGCUUGGGGCCCGACUCUCAGGUGCAACCAUAAGAAUCUUCAAACACAACAACACACAAAGCCUAGAGAAGCUCCUGAGAGAUGCUGUCAUCUAUGGCCAGCCUCGAACCCGCAGAGCUUGGAAAAAGAUUCUCAUCCUGGUGGAGGGUGUCUACAGCAUGGAAGGUUCCAUCGUGCAUCUGCCCCAGAUCAUAGCUCUAAAGAAGAAAUACAAGGCUUACCUCUACAUAGAUGAAGCUCACAGUAUUGGGGCCGUGGGCCCAACUGGCCGAGGUGUCACGGAAUUCUUUGGACUAGACCCUCACGAAGUUGAUGUGCUCAUGGGCACAUUCACCAAAAGCUUUGGAGCUGCAGGAGGUUACAUAGCUGGAAGGAAGGACCUUGUGGAUUAUUUACGGGUUCACUCGCAUAGUGCUGUCUAUGCUUCAUCCAUGAGCCCACCGAUAGCAGAGCAAAUCAUCAGAUCACUAAAACAUCUCAUGGGAAUGGAUGGGACCACACAAGGGUUGCAGAGAGUACGGCAACUUGCGAAAAACACAAGAUACUUCAGACAAAGACUGCAGGAAAUGGGAUUCAUUAUCUAUGGCAAUGAGAAUUCUCCUGUUGUUCCUCUGCUUCUUUACAUGCCUGGUAAAGUAGCGGCUUUUGCAAGGCAUAUGUUAGAGAAAAAAAUUGGAGUGGUGGUCGUGGGAUUUCCAGCCACUCCCCUCGCAGAAGCUCGGGCUCGGUUUUGUGUUUCAGCAGCCCAUACUCGGGAGAUGUUAGACACGAUAUUGGGAAUUUGUUUUUCACUGUUCUGGAGACCAGAAGUCUGAGAUCGAGGUGCCAAUGUGGUCGGGUUCUGAGGAGGGCCCACUUCCCUGCUGCAGAUGGCUGACUUCUCAUUGGAUCCCAACAUGGACUCUAAGAUUUUCAGUGAACAGUUGAAUCUUAAACCCUUCUGGGGAGAUACAAAGGAAAUGAAGAGGGUGAAGCCUAUGUUCAAGAAGCGGCCAGGAUGGUGCUCAAAUCUAGGGAUUUACAUGUCAAGUCAUGGCUUGCACUUUAUUUCAAUUAUUCUGUCUCUUCCAAGGGUGGCCUGUGCCAUAGAGUCACUCCUUCAACCAGCCGUGUUGACCUGACACCUUUUGCACUAGUGCCAAGGCCUGACUCAAUAACUUUUCCACUUACAUAGGUUUAUCUCACAGUUAACAAACACGGAUUUAUCCUUGGAAAAUCAUUUCAAACAAACGUUUCUCUGUUUAAAAUUAUUCCAAAUAGAUAAAGUAGCAAGUUUCUCCUAAUACACAUAAAUAUAAGUUGAUUUCCCCAAACAAACAAACAAACAAACAAAACAGAACACUUUAAAUUCACAAAGGUACUAUGGUUACUGCAUUGACUUUCCACAUCUGAUUCCUUCAUCAUCUCAGAAAUCAGGUUAACAACAAUCUGAGACAUAACCCAUAGUAAUGAAUAAAAAGUGAUGUGAAAUUGUCAGUGCCAAGUGUCAGUUGUACCAUCACCUGUAUCAAAUGAAUGGGCCACCCUUUCAGCACCAUCGGUUGUUGUGGAGUGCUCACCAUUUGGAGAGGGAUCUGUCCCUUUGAAUUGCAAUUAUGCUAGAGCAGAGAACCUGCAAAGGGUGUCAUCUCUAUUGCAGUUAGCUCAGACUGUGAUCCUGGAAGUUAGUCAUCCCUAAGCCUACAUAAUAAACCUCUACAGCAUUAAAACCAUCACUAUAAACUCCAAGUCACCUGCUAGUGAAGCUUCUCUCUCUCUGAGGCUAAAUACCACUUACCAACAAAGGAAACAAUGGGAAUGUGACAUCUGUGUUUGGAAAAAGCACUGCCUUUAAAAUAUGUUUUAUUUUCUCAUGAAUCCACUUGACUUAAUUUAUCUAAAUCCUAUUUGUAGUUUAAAAAAUGAAAUAAAACAAAAUAAAGUAAGAUAAAGUGAAAUAAAACUGAAAACACCAACAGAGUGGCCAAAGAAGAAAACUGACAUUGCAGGUAAAUUUCCACCUAAUCUGGAUUAUGUUACCAAAGGCAGCUUCCUGCCUUCCCAGUGAGGGGGAGGAGUUAAGAGCAAGCUUCAUUAGCCAUAAUGAUAAUUACAUACAUUUUCAAAGAGGCUAUUAUCCCGAGGCUUGAAGUGCUCUAUAAACAUUAAUUAAUUUAAGCUCUGGGUAGUCCAGCACCAUUAUGUCUUUUGUAAAGAAAAGUAAACAGAAGUGCUCAGAAACUAAGUGGCUUCACUAGGCUCAUUUAGGCAGCUGGCAGCAUAGUUGUGAACAAAACUGAGUCUGAAUGACAGUCUCCAAUGCCAGUCACAGGCAUAGAGGACUGCAAAGGACAAAGGGAAGGAGGGAUACUGCAAAGUGGGAUUAGUAAGGAAAUGGCUACAUUGUAACCAGAAGGCAGGUAAACAGUGCAACUCAGCUAAUAAGAUGGACUUCAGGGUGAAGAUAACUACACUUACCGUUCCAGUUUUUUUUUCAAGGUGGGGCUUCUCAAACUUUAAUGUCUAUCCAGUCACCUCAGGAAUCUUGUUCAACUGUGGAUCCUGAUUCAGGAGAUCUAUGGUGAGGCUUGAGCGUCUUCAUGGCUAAGUAAGCUCUCUGGAGCUGCUGAUGCUACUGGCCUUGGACCACAUUGUGUGAUAAUUUUCUGUGUUAUUUUCUUUAUUGCUCGGUUGAUUCUUUAACCAAUGCUAUUCUACUUAACUUUUUUCAGUACCUAUGUGUUACCUUUUCAUUGUGUUUUUCCUCCCUUUGAAAAUGAAUGUAUAAUAUUUAUAGGGAAAAGCAAGCAAGUCUUAAGGGUUCAAUGAGUUUUAGCCUUCUUUGAAAUUUGGAGACAGAGUUGCAAGCUUCUGGCUGGAAUCUAGCUCACCUGCCCUUUGAUUCCAGCAUGGAGAGGCUGCCAGUCCUCAGAGCAGGCUUGCCUUGGUUCCUCCUCCAAAAUGCACAAAGGGGAUUUCUCUCUAUGAGAUUUAUUAUCCGAUAUUAGUAUUUUUAGUUUUCCUCGGCUUUUCUUAAAGAGAAGGCACUAAAUUAAAAAAAAAUUUUUUUUUAAGAGGAAGCACUAGACAGAGGCAAAUUUGCACUGUUUGAACAAGGAAAGGAUUAUGUUUAAGAAACAAAGCAAGGGAUUGUGUUUAAAAAAUUCUAACCCACAUGGACAAAAAGGAAGACCCUUAAUUGGUCACUCAGAGUUUUAUUUUUUCCUACACAAAGAUAAACAUCUGGACAUUUGGAAAUAUUUAAGUAAUUAACCUAUUUUUCCAGUUUUUCACCAUAAACAAAUUAAUUUAGCAACUUUUACUGCGGACAGGGUUAUCUAUAAAGCAUGCUACUGGAUUCCUUGAGAUGCAGAGUUGUGUGGGCUCUGGAAAAUUUAUAUACUCAAGUUUACAAUCACAUUCAGCAGUGUAAGGACAAUUAGGAAGGCAUUAGAGAGAAGAGAAGCAAGGUUCACUAAAGGGUACAUCCAAAUGGGCCGACCAGGAGAAGCUCAUGAAGGGGGUGCCUUGAGGAUGAGACCUUAAGAUGACCGGUGGUAGUGGAACAGCAGAUAUGCCAGGCAAAAGGAAACCAAGAAGCAAAGGCAUAAAAGUGGGAAGAAAUGCAUGUGAGUAACAGGAAAUAAAUUCCUGUAAUAACAUCAAAAGAAAAAAAGCAAAGCGAGUGUUAUCUUCAUUUGAAACUGCGGGUAUAGCAAAAUGUAAUUCUGGGCUUAUAGAAAUCCUCAUGCAUGGUCACACUUCCAUCCUUCAUCCAGUAAAUAUCACUGAGAGCAUAGAUUCAGCGCUCCUAGUAAUAUUAUGAAUCUAUGCUCCUCGGUUACAGUCCUCACACUUGGCCCAAAUAAACUCUCUACUUAUAUUAUUUAAAAAACAUUACUAAGAGCCUCCUGUGUCUCCAGCCCUGUGCAAGGCUUUGGGCAUAAUCUGAUGAAACAAAAUGAACAUUACCCCUGAGCUCAAGGAGCUUGUGCUCUAGUUG